RNAcentral lists this ribosomal RNA (457 nucleotides) under uncultured bacterium. RNAcentral's name for it is "partial 16S ribosomal RNA". It matches the Rfam family "Bacterial small subunit ribosomal RNA", at positions 338 to 795 of the family's 1533-position model. The record is from RNAcentral.
CCUACGGGUGGCAGCAGUGGGGAAUAUUGCACAAUGGGGGAAACCCUGAUGCAGCGACGCCGCGUGAGUGAAGAAGUAUUUCGGUACGUAAAGCUCUAUCAGCAGGGAAGAAAAAAAGUCCUUUGGACUUUGGACGGUACCGGACCAAGAAGCCCCGGCUAACUACGUGCCAGCAGCCGCGGUAAUACGUAGGGGGCAAGCGUUAUCCGGAUUUACUGGGUGGAAAGGGAGCGUAGACGGCAGCGCAAGUCGGGAGUGAAAUGCCGGGGCCCAACCCCGGAACUGCUUUGGAAACUGUGCAGCUGGAGUGCAGUAGAGGUAAGCGGAAUUCCUAGUGUAGCGGUGAAAUGCGUAGAUAUUAGGAGGAACACCAGUGGCGAAGGCGGCUUACUGGACUGUAACUGACGUUGAGGCUCGAAAGCGUGGGGAGCAAACAGGAUUAGAUACCCUUGUAGUC